Molecule: ribosomal RNA, 237 nt
Filed under: uncultured bacterium
Lineage: Bacteria
Description: partial 16S ribosomal RNA
Rfam family: Bacterial small subunit ribosomal RNA
Source: RNAcentral
GACGAACGCUGGCGGCGUGCUUAACACAUGCAAGUCACGGGGGGCUCGCAAGAGCUAACCGGCGAACGGGUGCGUAACACGUGAGCGACCUGCCGAUCUGCGGGGGAUAGCCGGCCCAACGGCCGGGUAAUACCGCAUACGUUCCUCAGGGGGCAUCCCUUGGGGAGGAAACCUCCGGGGCGGAUCGAGGGGCUCGCGGCCUAUCAGCUAGGUUGGGGGGUAACGGCCUCCCAACGG